UACGUAGGGGGCAAGCGUUGUCCGGAAUCAUUGGGCGUAAAGCGCGUGUAGGCGGUCCGGUAAGUCGGUUGUGAAAGUCCAGGGCUCAACCCUGGGAUGCCGACCGAUACUGUCGGACUAGAGUUCGGAAGAGGCGAGUGGAAUUCCCGGUGUAGCGGUGAAAUGCGCAGAUAUCGGGAGGAACACCAGUGGCGAAGGCGGCUUUCUGGCCUGUUCUUGACGCUGAGGCGCGAAAGCCAGGGGAGCAAACGGG
RNAcentral lists this ribosomal RNA (253 nucleotides) under uncultured bacterium. RNAcentral's name for it is "partial 16S ribosomal RNA". It matches the Rfam family "Bacterial small subunit ribosomal RNA", at positions 524 to 776 of the family's 1533-position model. The record is from RNAcentral.